This 27-nucleotide non-coding RNA is filed under the name Mus musculus (house mouse). Lineage: Eukaryota; Metazoa; Chordata; Mammalia; Rodentia; Muridae. The record is from RNAcentral.
AGAGCAACGCCACUCUGGUCUGCAAGG